CAAAGAGUAGCUUAAAAUAAAGCAAUCAACUUACAAUUGAGAAAUGUUAUUCACAUUAACCUCUUUGU
RNAcentral lists this transfer RNA (68 nucleotides) under Chamaesaura anguina. RNAcentral describes it as "tRNA-Val". It matches the Rfam family "tRNA". From Rfam's summary of the family: Transfer RNA (tRNA) molecules are approximately 80 nucleotides in length. Their secondary structure includes four short double-helical elements and three loops (D, anti-codon, and T loops). Lineage: Eukaryota; Metazoa; Chordata; Lepidosauria; Squamata; Cordylidae. The record is from RNAcentral.